UACGUAGGGUGCAAGCGUUAAUCGGAAUUACUGGGCGUAAAGCGUGCGCAGGCGGCUUUGCAAGUCAGAUGUGAAAUCCCCGGGCUUAACCUGGGAACUGCGUUUGAAACUACAAGGCUAGAGGUGUGGCGAGGGGGGUGGAAUUCCGACGUGAGCAGUGAAAUGCGUAGAUAUCGUGAAGGAAGACCAGUGGCGAAGGCGAGUUCCUGGAGAG
Molecule: ribosomal RNA, 214 nt
Filed under: uncultured bacterium
Lineage: Bacteria
Description: partial 16S ribosomal RNA
Rfam family: Bacterial small subunit ribosomal RNA
Source: RNAcentral